GGUUUAUGAUUCUGAACUUUGCUCCCCUAAAUCUCUAGAAGCUUCACCUCCGCUCAACCAUCACUAAUCGAAUCAUCCUCCACACCACCAUCACUAAUCGAAUCAUCCUCCGAUCCAAAACCCUAAUCGCUCCAAAACCCUAUCCCAAAAGUGGCGACCGUUGGACUUCAGCAAUGAGCUAAUGAUUUCCUAGGGUUCGGUUUGUUGUGAACUAUGACCAACAUCUUGUUAUUCUUAAUCGAAGGUGUUGGAGCAUUGGCCGUUCUUUAUUAGAUU
RNAcentral lists this long non-coding RNA (276 nucleotides) under Helianthus annuus (common sunflower). Its description in RNAcentral is "hypothetical non coding rna". The record is from RNAcentral. Lineage: Eukaryota; Viridiplantae; Streptophyta; Magnoliopsida; Asterales; Asteraceae.